CAAAAACCAAAACAAGUACUCCAGGCAUACCCGGGCAAAGACAGUAGAAAGCUAAUACAAAGAAAUCAAAGCUCCAUGGCCAAGGAUUCAUAAAGAAUCAAGACAUCCGGAUACAAAGUAAACAUGAUUUUGUAUACGUGAGUCUUGAUCCUUCUAGCAAUAGAAUCCAAGUCGACCGGGAGGUCUUCAAAAAUCUUCCUAUUCCUCGUAAGCCAUAUGUAGUAAACUGUGCUAGCAAGAGCAACUCUCUUCGUCUUGGUCAGCCACGAAGUUCCACGAUUCUCCUUUUUCAUCCACUUAAGCGCAAUGGCAAGUGUAGACAUAGAUCUUGUGAUGCCAAGCCAUCUCCUAAUGCUUCCCCAUAAUGAGAAAGUGAAGGAGCACUUAAAGAAUAGAUGGUCACAAGUUUCCUCAAAAAGUCCACAAAAGACACACCUCCGAUCAAUAUCCAAGAAGAGUAGUUUGUCUUUAGUUAGUAGCUUUGAUUGGGCUGCUAACCAAAGUAAGAAAGAAUGCUUCGGAGUGAUGCACGGCUUCCAAACUUCUCCUCCCCACGGCUUCAAAGUACCUUUAUGCCUAAAGUAUUCAUAGGCAAUUUUUGUUGAGAAUUUAUCAUGCACAGAACAGCCCAGAUUUUGAGUCGAAGAUUCAAAAAACUGCCUACCGAAGAAAGCUGUCUGCCGGCCAGAAAUGCUGCUGAAUGAAGGGCCCAAAUUCUGGUCGUGCAGAGCACUCCCAGCUCCAAAAAACCGUCCAUUUAAUGCCCUUCCAUCACUGGACGUGUCCCCGUUAACCCCCUGAUCAAUCUGAAAAUGAUGGGCCCCCGUUUCCUGUUGCUGUCUCGGAAUUACAGUGUGCUGGGCAGCUUCUUUGGUAGAAAUAAAAUCCCUGAUUUCAAGUAAUUUCUUGAAAAGUGGGGAGUGAUCCUUUUUAGGACGAGCCUCCCAAAUACAAGUGCCGUUAAGAUAAGCAUGAUGAACCCAUCUAAUCCAUAAGGUGUCCUUCUUCUUGUGGAUGUUCCAAAGGGAUUUAGCAAGUAACGCGAAAUUCCAAGUCUUCAAG
RNAcentral lists this long non-coding RNA (1062 nucleotides) under Olea europaea subsp. europaea. The record is from RNAcentral. Lineage: Eukaryota; Viridiplantae; Streptophyta; Magnoliopsida; Lamiales; Oleaceae.